CCCUUAGAUGUUCUGGGCCGCACGCGCGCUACACUGACAGGGCCAGCGAGUACAUCACCUUAACCGAGAGGUUUGGGUAAUCUUGUUAAACCCUGUCGUGCUGGGGAUAGAGCAUUGCGAUUAUUGCUCUUCAACGAGGAAUGCCUAGUAGGCACGAGUCAUCAGCUCGUGCCGAUUACGUCCCUGCCCUUUGUACACACCGCCCGUCGCUACUACCGAUUGAAUGGCUCAGUGAGGCCUUGGGAUUGGCUUAGGAGGGUUGGCAACGACCCCCCAGAGCCGAAAACUUGGUCAAACUCGGUCAUUUAGAGGAAGUAAAAGUCGUAACA
This 329-nucleotide ribosomal RNA is filed under the name uncultured eukaryote. RNAcentral describes it as "partial 18S ribosomal RNA". It matches the Rfam family "Eukaryotic small subunit ribosomal RNA", at positions 1470 to 1796 of the family's 1831-position model. The record is from RNAcentral.